CUCAGCUCAAUUCCAAGAUUAUCAAGUUCGUAGAUUCUCGAGCAGCAAAGGAGUGUGGGAUUUUCUCGCUAGUUUUCAGAAACAGAGCAAAGAGGCAGAGAAAAAUUUGAGGCGAUGGUGCUGGGGGUGUUGAAGGGGCAGCCGCUGGUCACGAAGGUGGCAGCAGUGGCGAAAUACGGCGUGCUUCCGGGAGCAAUGAUCGCCGCCCUUGUCUACUCGCCGCCCGAUUACGCUUUGUCCAAAAAACCAUCUGAUUCAGGAUCGUCAAGCUUGUCCCGUUAGGCAAAAAAGCUCUUUUUGGCUGGUUACGCAUACAUCUUCCAGUUGGACUCGUGAUAGAGAUAUUGCAUGUAAUAAAUGUAAUGCUGCUUUCCUGCUGUAAAACUGUUGUAAACAUUGGGGAAUCUUUCAAGUCUCUCGAGGAAAUGUGUUUCUUCCUUUAUUAUGUUUUGUCUUAUAUUUCGAUAGAAUUUUGAUAAAUGCGCAUGAUUUUGUAUCAAGCUCUGUAUUGACUUCAAUUUCAAGACUUUAUGCAGUCCCCAUUGAUAAA
This is a long non-coding RNA of Sesamum indicum (sesame), 550 nucleotides long. RefSeq lists it as uncharacterized. NCBI's taxonomy places the organism in Eukaryota, Viridiplantae, Streptophyta, Magnoliopsida, Lamiales, Pedaliaceae. The record is from RefSeq and is a predicted model, not a curated record.